GUAGGUGGCAAGCGUUGUCCGGAAUUAUUGGGCGUAAAGCGCGCGCAGGCGGUUUUUUAAGUCUGAUGUGAAAGCCCACGGCUCAACCGUGGAGGGUCAUUGGAAACUGGAGAACUUGAGUACAGAAGAGGAAAGCGGAAUUCCACGUGUAGCGGUGAAAUGCGUAGAGAUGUGGAGGAACACCAGUGGCGAAGGCGGCUUUCUGGUCUGUAACUGACGCUGAGGCGCGAAAGCGUGGGGAGCAAACAGGAUUAGAUACCCUGGUAGUCCACGCCGUAAACGAUGAGUGCUAAGUGUUAGGGGGUUUCCCGCCCCCCUUAGUGCUGCAGCUAACGCAUUAAGCACUCCGCCUGGGGAGUACGGCCCGCAAGGCUG
Molecule: ribosomal RNA, 375 nt
Filed under: uncultured organism
Description: partial 16S ribosomal RNA
Rfam family: Bacterial small subunit ribosomal RNA
Source: RNAcentral